ACCCGCUGAACUUAACGUCAAUAAGCGGAGGAAAAGAAACCAACAGGGAUUGCCCUAGUAACGGCGAGUGAAGCGGCAACAGCUCAAAUUUGAAAUCUGGCCUCUUUUGGGGUCCGAGUUGUAAUUUGCAGAGGGCGCUUUGGCGUUGGCAGCGGUCCAAGUUCCUUGGAACAGGGCGUCACAGAGGGUGAGAAUCCCGUACGUGGUCGCUGGCCUUCGCCGUGUAAAGCCCCUUCGACGAGUCGAGUUGUUUGGGAAUGCAGCUCUAAAUGGGAGGUAAAUUUCUUCUAAAGCUAAAUACUGGCCAGAGACCGAUAGCGCACAAGUAGAGUGAUCGAAAGAUGAAAAGCACUUUGGAAAGAGAGUCAAACAGCACGUGAAAUUGUUGAAAGGGAAGCGCUUGCAGCCAGACUUGCCUGUAGUUGCUCAUCCGGGCUUUUGCCCGGUGCACUCUUCUAUAGGCAGGCCAGCAUCAGUUUGGGCGGUUAGAUAAAGGUCUCUGUCAUGUACCUCUCUUCGGGGAGAACUUAUAGGGGAGACGACAUGUAACCAGCCCAGAUUGAGGUCCGCGCAUUUGCUAGGAUGCUGGCGUAAUGGCUGU
RNAcentral lists this ribosomal RNA (601 nucleotides) under uncultured fungus. RNAcentral describes it as "eukaryotic LSU rRNA". It matches the Rfam family "Eukaryotic large subunit ribosomal RNA", at positions 23 to 641 of the family's 3401-position model. Lineage: Eukaryota; Fungi. The record is from RNAcentral.